Long non-coding RNA from Diorhabda carinulata, 525 nucleotides. RefSeq lists it as uncharacterized. The transcript has 3 exons. The record is from RefSeq and is a predicted model, not a curated record. NCBI's taxonomy places the organism in Eukaryota, Metazoa, Arthropoda, Insecta, Coleoptera, Chrysomelidae.
UAAAUGCGCAUUGAAGUGUAAAUUUUUUUUGUAAAUUAGCUGCAAAUUAUAUUGUUUACAAACUUUAGGAGUAACUGAUUUUAUAUAUGUCCUUCACUUUAUCGUUUGACUUGCCACACUCUCACAACUCAGACGUUCAUAAACUUGUUGGCAAAGACUUCCACCAAUUACAAGUUCAUGAAGGAGUGGAUGAUAUGUGAUGAGUUUUCAUAUUUGAGCUCCUAUCUCUCCCUUGGCGAUAGUAACGACCCACAUUCUCAUUAAAAAUAGUGAAUUAACAAUUCAACGAGUUAUUUGCAUACACUAUUUAGUUGUUUUAGCAAACAAUUAAUGUGAAUGUCACAACCAAUUUGUUUUGAAAAAAACAGGUACUGAACGAAAAGUCGAAAUUGUAAAUGUGUACAUUCUCUACUGGAACAUCCAAGGUAAACAUGGGGCUUCAAUAUCACUUGUGUGAAUCUGGAAAGUAUUCUAGUGUGAUUUAUUUCCCAUCAUGAUAUUGCAAUUAAUAAACAUUUAAAACAU